RNAcentral lists this ribosomal RNA (1147 nucleotides) under uncultured bacterium. Its description in RNAcentral is "bacterial SSU rRNA". It matches the Rfam family "Bacterial small subunit ribosomal RNA", at positions 1 to 1127 of the family's 1533-position model. The record is from RNAcentral.
GCAUGAAUGCGCGGAUCUUCAGAGAUUAGAGUUUGAUCAUGGCUCAGGAUGAACGCUAGCGGCAGGCUUAACACAUGCAAGUCGAGGGGCAGCGAGGGUAGCAAUACCUGUCGGCGACCGGCGCAAGGGUGCGUAACGCGUGAGCAACAUGCCCGUAUCAGGGGGAUAAUCCAGGGAAACUUGGUCUAAUACCCCAUAGUAAAUAUUGGAGGCAUCCUCGAUAUUUUAAAGCUUUGGUGGAUACGGAUUGGCUCGCGUGACAUUAGCUAGAUGGUGGGGUAACGGCUCACCAUGGCUACGAUGUCUAGGGGUUCUGAGAGGAAGGUCCCCCACACUGGUACUGAGACACGGACCAGACUCCUACGGGAGGCAGCAGCGAGGAAUAUUGGACAAUGGAUGGAAAUCUGAUCCAGCCAUGCCGCGUGCAGGAAGACGGCCCUAUGGGUUGUAAACUGCUUUUGUAUGGGAGCAAUAAGGACUACGUGUAGUUUGAUGAGAGUACCAUACGAAUAAGCAUCGGCUAACUCCGUGCCAGCAGCCGCGGUAAUACGGAGGAUGCGAGCGUUAUCCGGAUUUAUUGGGUUUAAAGGGUGCGUAGGCGGCGAUAUAAGUCAGUGGUGAAAUAUUUCGGCUUAACCGAGAGACUGCCAUUGAUACUGUGUUGCUAGAAUAUGGUUGCUGUGAGUGGAAUGUGUGGUGUAGCGGUGAAAUGCUUAGAUAUCACACAGAAUAUCGAUUGCGAAGGCAGCUCACAAAGCCAUUAUUGACGCUGAGGCACGAAAGUGUGGGGAUCAAACAGGAUUAGAUACCCUGGUAGUCCACACUGUAAACGAUGAUAACUCGCUGUCGGCGAUAGACAGUCGGUGGCCAAGCGAAAGCGAUAAGUUAUCCACCUGGGGAGUACGACCGCAAGGUUGAAACUCAAAGGAAUUGACGGGGGCCCGCACAAGCGGAGGAACAUGUGGUUUAAUUCGAUGAUACGCGAGGAACCUUACCCGGGCUCGAACGGUGCAUGAAUAUACAAGAGAUUGUAUAGCCAGCAAUGGCAUGUAUCGAGGUGCUGCAUGGUUGUCGUCAGCUCGUGCCGUGAGGUGUCGGCUUAAGUGCCAUAACGAGCGCAACCCUUGUCGUUAGUUACCAUCAGGGG